This 258-nucleotide ribosomal RNA is filed under the name uncultured prokaryote. RNAcentral's name for it is "partial 16S ribosomal RNA". It matches the Rfam family "Bacterial small subunit ribosomal RNA", at positions 524 to 782 of the family's 1533-position model. The record is from RNAcentral.
UACGUAGGGGACGAGCGUUGUCCGGAAUUACUGGGCGUAAAGGGCGCGCAGGCUGUAGAUCAAGUCAGCUGUGAAAUGUCUGGGCUUAACCCGGGCAUGCGGUUGAAACUGAUGUACUGGAGUGCUGUAGAGGCAAGUGGAAUUCCCAGUGUAGCGGUGAAAUGCGUAGAUAUUGGGAAGAACACCGGUGGCGAAGGCGACUUGCUGGGCAGCAACUGACGCUGAGGCGCGAAAGCCAGGGGAGCAAACGGAAUUAGA